RNAcentral lists this ribosomal RNA (253 nucleotides) under uncultured bacterium. Its description in RNAcentral is "partial 16S ribosomal RNA". It matches the Rfam family "Bacterial small subunit ribosomal RNA", at positions 524 to 776 of the family's 1533-position model. The record is from RNAcentral.
UACAGAGGGGGCCAGCGUUAUUCGGAAUUAUUGGGCGUAAAGGGCGCGUAGGCGGCUUUGCGUGUCUUUCGUGAAAUCCCUCGGCUCAACUGAGGACGUGCGGAAGAAACUGCAGGGCUGGAGUCCGGGAGAGGAGGGUGGAAUUCCCAGUGUAGCGGUGAAAUGCGUAGAUAUUGGGAGGAACACCGGUGGCGAAGGCGGCCCUCUGGACCGGUACUGACGCUGAGGCACGAAAGCGUGGGGAGCAAACAGG